AAAAUUGUUUAUGUUCUUGCUCAGAAUUCUACAUUAGGUUAUGGAGCCAGAGCUGCAAAAAUCUCGUAUCUUAUGACUUCUUUGAAUUCUUCAAGACUGAGAUUCAGACUCAGAUACAUCUGGCUCCACAGCCUGAGGUCUGAACAACUGUGAUUCACUGCCUCUCACUCCAUUACACUUUUUUCCACAUGACCUGCCUCCUGCUUCUGUGUUUCUUAUGAAUUAUCCCUAAGAGUGGAAGGCUGGCUUCGUAAAAUCAAAUGAGUAUGUGAAUACUGUUCAGACAGUAACUGCAAGGUGUCAUGGAACAUGACUGAAGUGAACUGUAAAGCAAGGCAAACUCUCACUACUUAAAAUAUUGGGUUUUUACCUUGGGUCCCAUGCUGAUUAGAGGCAGACUUAGGAAUCAACAAGAUCUGGGUAUUCUGUCCAGAUCCAUCACUCACUGUAUGGUCUGUAGGAAGCUACUAAACUCUUAGAACUCC
Long non-coding RNA from Choloepus didactylus (southern two-toed sloth), 485 nucleotides. RefSeq lists it as uncharacterized. NCBI's taxonomy places the organism in Eukaryota, Metazoa, Chordata, Mammalia, Pilosa, Megalonychidae. The record is from RefSeq and is a predicted model, not a curated record. The transcript is spliced from 3 exons.